Molecule: microRNA precursor, 110 nt
Organism: Gallus gallus (chicken)
Lineage: Eukaryota; Metazoa; Chordata; Aves; Galliformes; Phasianidae
Source: Ensembl
AAUGUUGGUAAUUAUUUUAUCUGGAAUUGUAGUAGAGUGUAUUAUUAUGGCAUGUGCCUAAUGGCUCUACUGCUUUCUUGUCAGGUGAUAUGAAGGACGACACGACGGAC